This is a long non-coding RNA of Labeo rohita (rohu), 1304 nucleotides long. RefSeq lists it as uncharacterized. Lineage: Eukaryota; Metazoa; Chordata; Actinopteri; Cypriniformes; Cyprinidae. The record is from RefSeq and is a predicted model, not a curated record. The transcript has 3 exons.
UUGUGUUUUGAAGAUGCACGAAGGUCUUACAGGUUUGGAAUGACAUACUUAAAGGGAUAGUUUCCCCCCCCCAAAAAAAUUUGAUGUUUAUCUGCUUACCCCCAAGGCAUUCAAGAUGUAGGUGACUUUGUUUGUUCAGUAGAACACAAACAAAGAUUUUUAACUCAAACUGUUGCAGUCUGUCAGUCAUAUAAUAGCAGUCAAUGGGAUCCAUGGGUUUGAGAGUCAAAAAAACAUGCACAGACAAAACCAAAUUAAGCCCUGCGGCUCAUGACGAUACAUUGAGGUCUUAAGACACGAAACAAUCAGUCUUUACAAGAAACUGAACAGUAUUUAUAUCAUUUUUUCCCUCUGAUCCACCGCAAUGUCUAACUGUCCUGAGCGCGUUCACAACAGCUGGUGUGUGACGCAUUAACAUGCUCUGGAAUAGCAGACGCAUGCGCGGAAGUGAUCUGUUGCGCGUAUAGAUCACUCAUUGUUUACACAGUGCACAAAGAUUGUGGGUACAACGGCUACUCAAAAUGGUAAUUACUUGUGCUUACCCUGAUUGUUGCAAUGGAUUAAAAACUAUAAGAUUACUUUGCUUGCGGGAACUCAUCCGGGAGUGUUGACCUUUCACUGACUCAAAACUUUUGAGCCUGAUCGACUGACCCAGAGAGCCAAAGGGAGAUAAAGUACUACUGAAAUCAUCAGCUGUGCCUAUGGUUUUUCUCGACGAACUGAGGUCACACACCGGCUGUUGUGAACAUGCUCAGUUGGACAUUGCGGUGGAUCAGAGCCAUGCAUCCUAUUGACUGCCAUUAUAUGACUGACAGACUGCAACGGUUUGAGUUAAAAAUCUUUGUGUUCUACUGAAGAAACAAAGUCACCUACAUCUUGGAUGCCUUGGAGACAUUGUGUGUUCGCAUGAAUAUAUGUGAAACACUACGUCAUUCCACAGUCACUGCGUCCACACUCUCCUGGGAGACCUCAGAGUCCAGUGAAUAGCAGGAGCUGCCGUUAUCCUGAGUGUCCUUGGCUGCCUCCUCUCCCGUGGCUGCGCUAAUAUCUGGUUGGCCAUCGCAGCCGUGAAGCAGCUGGCCGCAGAAGCGGCUGUAGCGAUGGUAUCGCAGCGGCUUGCCCACAUGGGCGAACAUGUGCUCCUGCAGCUGGCUCUUCUGCGAGAAGCGAAGGUUGCAUACGGCACAGGCCAUCUUUCGUUUUCGUGUGAAGGCUGCCAACGGGCUGCCGCUCCGUCCGGUCCCACCACCUCGUCUGAGUUCCACAGCCAGCUCAUCGGCCAGGGCCUGGCUUUGCCGUAAGGC